Molecule: transfer RNA, 71 nt
Filed under: Sphaerodactylus townsendi
Lineage: Eukaryota; Metazoa; Chordata; Lepidosauria; Squamata; Sphaerodactylidae
Description: tRNA-Ala
Source: RNAcentral
GUUCAAUGGCUCAGGGGUAGAGCAUUUGUUUUGCACGUGGAAGGUCCCAAGUUCAAUUCAUGACAUCUGCA